This 548-nucleotide ribosomal RNA is filed under the name uncultured bacterium. Its description in RNAcentral is "bacterial SSU rRNA". It matches the Rfam family "Bacterial small subunit ribosomal RNA", at positions 772 to 1319 of the family's 1533-position model. The record is from RNAcentral.
ACCGAAUAGAUACCCCGGUAGUCCACGCCGUAAACGUUGGGCGCUAGGUGUGGGGGUCCUUCCACGACCUCCGUGCCGCAGCUAAACGCAUUAAAGCGCCCCGCCUGGGGAGUACGGCCGCAAGGCUAAAACUCAAAGGAAUUGACGGGGGCCCGCACAAGCGGCGGAGCAUGCGGAUUAAUUCGAUGCAACGCGAAGAACCUUACCAAGGCUUGACAUGUACAGGAAAGUUCCAGAGAUGGUUCCCCCGCAAGGUCUGUACACAGGUGGUGCAUGGUUGUCGUCAGCUCGUGUCGUGAGAUGUUGGGUUAAGUCCCGCAACGAGCGCAACCCUCGUCUUAUGUUGCCAGCACGUAAUGGUGGGAACUCAUAAGAGACUGCCGGGGUCAACUCGGAGGAAGGUGGGGAUGACGUCAAAUCAUCAUGCCCCUUAUGUCUUGGGCUUCACGCAUGCUACAAUGGCCGGUACAAUGGGCUGCAAUACCGCGAGGUGGAGCGAAUCCCAAAAAGCCGGUCUCAGUUCGGAUUGGGGUCUGCAACUCGACCCC